RNAcentral lists this ribosomal RNA (253 nucleotides) under uncultured bacterium. RNAcentral's name for it is "partial 16S ribosomal RNA". It matches the Rfam family "Bacterial small subunit ribosomal RNA", at positions 524 to 776 of the family's 1533-position model. The record is from RNAcentral.
AACGUAGGACGCAAGCGUUAUCCGGAGUUACUGGGCGUAAAGCGCGGGCAGGCGGUUCUGCCCGUCUGAUGUGAAAUCUCCUCGCUCAACGGGGAGCAGCCAUUGGAAACUACAGAACUGGAGUCUGACAGAGGUAGGCGGAAUUCCGGGUGGAGUGGUGAAAUGCGUAGAGAUCCGGAGGAACACCAGAGGCGAAGGCGGCCUACUGGGUCAGUACUGACGCUGAGCCGCGAAAGCCAGGGGAGCGAACGGG